Molecule: long non-coding RNA, 1807 nt
Organism: Macaca nemestrina (pig-tailed macaque)
Lineage: Eukaryota; Metazoa; Chordata; Mammalia; Primates; Cercopithecidae
Source: Ensembl
GGCUGAGAGGGAAGAAUGUGAUGAAGUGUCAAGUCCCUGUCAGCUCCGUAUUUCCCACGGCAUUUAAAUGCCUGCAGGCGGAUUAAUAAGCCACCUUGCUCCUGCCACAACUUGUGACGGAAAGCAGAAGGCAGGAUGGACGUGGCGAGUGACCUGCUCAGCCUCGCUGACCUAGUGCCUGGUCCAUCUGCCGCCUUGCCGUGCCGCCCCUCCUGUGAGGCAAGGGUCAGAACACGCUCAUGCAACAAUUCCGCGAGACUGCGGCCGGCAAAGCAGCCAGAGAACACACACGGACCCCUGCCUGGCUGUGGCCCCUCUUGGGCAGAUGGCAGGACCCAAUCCACUCUGAGUCUGCAGCCGUGAGCCUGGAAUUUCCCCCAGCGCAGGAAGGAGGUGGAGCGCCAGCAGCUCAGGGGUGCCGGGAGCCGGGCACAGGAGCCUCCCGGGGUGCUGAGCCCAGGAAACCCGCAGCAGCUGGGCAGCGUGGUGCUCCGCAAGCCCACUCGGCCCCCACAUCUCCGGGCCGUGCUGUCAGCACUCCUCCUCCUCCCGGAGUGAUCCAGGCAAAUGGCGUAUGGAGCCCACCCCUCGGGGAUGGGGAGGCCCAGUUCUCCGUCUUCACAAACAGUGAGUGCUGACCAGAGGCCACACCAGGGCGGAAGCUGGACGGAGGCAGCUGAGGUGACUUUAAAAACUGGACUCUGAGUAUCUGUGGGGGCUGCAUUUGGUCAGGAUUUGUUAUUUUCCAGAAUUCUCUCUGAAGAACAGGAGGUGCUGGAAGCUGGCAGGGCACCCAUGUGGCUCCUGUCGUUAGAAGGAGAAAGGUCCAGGCUGGAAAGGGCCCCUCCCCACUCCCUGUAGGUGCUGAGGGUCUUGGUUGGUCCUCUGUUCCCCACAAGGAAGCAGUGGGCGUGGGGUCACCUCCGACAUUGCACUGGGGCUGCGGCACCACUGGGCCACGCAGGAGGCACAGCGUGGGGCACUCAAGGCCGCUAGAGUGAGUCGGGUCUGGAGGAGGAGGGGGCACAGACAGAGGUGAGGGCAGCGGAGGAAGCCGCGGGCGUGGGAGAGGCCCCAGCCCAGGGACCGAGGUGCGUGUGGGUGCAGGGGACAUUUGCAGACUGGGCCAUCUGGAGGGACGGCGGACACAUGGCAGCGAGAGAGAAGACAGCGCGGUCUGCCUGGCAUCUGCUUUCUAGGUUGGUGCUGGGUGAGGUGUGCUGCUCAGAUCGUUCCUAGAAGCACAGAACACCCAGAUGUUCCUUCAGGGUCUGUCUCACCCUCAGAGUCACCUUUCCCACAGCCCUGUCCUUCCCGGAAAGAUGGAGUCUAGUGACCGAGGAAGGCCGGACCGUGCAGGCCUCCCCACAGUGCCAGCCGAACGGGCCCCUUGCGUGCCAGAUCUUCCCGCGGGUCACACGGCCCCGUGGGGCCUGCACCACACGUCAGCCCUACCCGCUUCCCUUCACACGCGCUGGUCCUAAGCACCUUCACACCCGUAUGCAUCCGGUCCCAACUCUGCUUCCAGAGACAUCUGAAGAUGUGGCACCGUUUGACGAGAAACCCAACCUCUCGCAACAGUGUGAUUCCUUCCCCAUCCCCACGCCUCACGCUCCUGUCCUCACGUGUUCUAUGACUGAGACCCCACGAAGCUCGUGGUGCUGGACACACACGCGUGCAGAUUUGCCGUUUAAAAGAGAUGACGGGCCGGGCGCGGUGGCUCAAGCCUGUAAUCCCAGCACUUUGGGAGGCCGAGACGGGCGGAUCACGAGGUCGGGAGAUUGAGACCAUCCUGGCUAACACGGUG